RNAcentral lists this long non-coding RNA (1117 nucleotides) under Dromaius novaehollandiae (emu). RNAcentral's name for it is "lncRNA (ENSDNVG00000017815.1)". Lineage: Eukaryota; Metazoa; Chordata; Aves; Casuariiformes; Dromaiidae. The record is from RNAcentral.
UGCACAAGCCAUCACACUUCCUCACAUCACUCCACACCAAAUAAGAGAGGUAUGAAAAAAAAGGCCCUAUGAAACUCACCUGCAGCCAUUACUGGUUACUUCUGUGAAAUUGCCUGUAUUUUAAAUGUUUACAUGUGCUUGGAUGAACAUGUUGACUUGUCUGAGAAUUCUCACACCAAAAUGUCUUCACAUUAUGUUCUUCCAGUUCCAAAAGUAUUGGCUCAACUUGUGGAACUUGAAAAGUGACUGAGUCCUGGUCCUGAGAAGAAAUAGUCAUCAUGGCAUGCCUGAAUUUCUUUCCAGUCAACAGAUGUUUGCAUGGCUGUUCAUUCAUCUUUCCAUAAGGACUCUUGUAGCACUACAAGAAAGAUGGAUCCCAGUUUGGCAUUUUACUAUGGAUUUCUGUGCUGAGCUGCUGCAUCAGCUUCACUGGCAUUUGCACUUUUAAUGGAGGAGGAACAGGGUGAAGAAAAUCAUGUAGGUCUGGUGUUUGGGAUAAGUGCUCAGAAAGUUCAUAAAACAAGUUCAUUAACAGCAAUUAUGUGGGUAAGCUCAUAAGAACGUAUAGCCAUUGCAUGUGGCAGCUCUUUUAUUGCUAUGAUUGAUGUAAAAUAAUGGCUCUCAAAGGGAUGAUCAUUGUUGGUUUUGAUAAGUUAAAUCAUUACACGGGCUUAUUUGGAUGAGGAAGUUUUCAUUUGRUGGUAACACAUGAAGUCCUUGCUGACUACAAAUGCCCCAGAAGRUUGGUGGCCUAGGAGAAAAAUCCUAGUUUCAUGUUGCCAACAUUUGACAAGACACUAGAGGGACGGGUUAUAGUCAAUAGUAGUGACUCACUGUUUUCUUUUCCUAAGGCAUCUCAGCCAAAUGAACCAGCAGUUCUGCCAGAGUUGCUACAUGCUGCUCAGCUAUUUUUUUCUUGCUCAAUUUAAUGGAUGAGUUGUGGGAACUCAGAGCUACACGGGACAGAGCCAGACCACAGAAAGGAAAGCUUAAAACUGCUGAGCAAAAUGUCACUGCAGGGUAUGAUAAAUAGUGCAGGCAUUUUUGAUGCUACUUAAUGAUACUCAUUUUGAAUAACAAUUAUAAAAUAAAAACUACAUGGUGUGUCUGUCUUACA